UACGGGAUAAUAUAUUUGAGAGGCAUCUCUUGAAUAUCAAAGGUGAGCCAGUACAGGAUGGACCCGCGUCUGAUUAGUUAGUUGGUAAGGUAACGGCUUACCAAGGCGACGAUCAGUAGCCGACCUGGGAGGGUGAUCGGCCACAUUGGAACUGAGACACGGUCCAAACUCCUACGGGAGGCAGCAGUGGGGAAUAUUGCACAAU
Molecule: ribosomal RNA, 205 nt
Filed under: Clostridioides difficile
Lineage: Bacteria; Bacillati; Bacillota; Clostridia; Peptostreptococcales; Peptostreptococcaceae
Description: partial 16S ribosomal RNA
Rfam family: Bacterial small subunit ribosomal RNA
Source: RNAcentral